CCUAACACAUGCAAGUCGAACGAGCGAGAGAGAGCUUGCUUUCUCAAGCGAGUGGCGAACGGGUGAGUAACGCGUGAGGAACCUGCCUCAAAGAGGGGGACAACAGUUGGAAACGACUGCUAAUACCGCAUAAGCCCACGGCUCGGCAUCGAGCAGAGGGAAAAGGAGCAAUCCGCUUUGAGAUGGCCUCGCGUCCGAUUAGCUAGUUGGUGAGGUAACGGCCCACCAAGGCGACGAUCGGUAGCCGGACUGAGAGGUUGAACGGCCACAUUGGGACUGAGACACGGCCCAGACUCCUACGGGAGGCAGCAGUGGGGAAUAUUGCACAAUGGGGGAAACCCUGAUGCAGCGACGCCGCGUGGAGGAAGAAGGUCUUCGGAUUGUAAACUCCUGUUGUUGAGGAAGAUAAUGACGGUACUCAACAAGGAAGUGACGGCUAACUACGUGCCAGCAGCCGCGGUAAAACGUAGGUCACAAGCGUUGUCCGGAAUUACUGGGUGUAAAGGGAGCGCAGGCGGGAAGACAAGUUGGAAGUGAAAUCCAUGGGCUCAACCCAUGAACUGCUUUCAAAACUGUUUUUCUUGAGUAGUGCAGAGGUAGGCGGAAUUCCCGGUGUAGCGGUGGAAUGCGUAGAUAUCGGGAGGAACACCAGUGGCGAAGGCGGCCUACUGGGCACCAACUGACGCUGAGGCUCGAAAGUGUGGGUAGCAA
This 711-nucleotide ribosomal RNA is filed under the name uncultured Lachnospiraceae bacterium. RNAcentral describes it as "bacterial SSU rRNA". It matches the Rfam family "Bacterial small subunit ribosomal RNA", at positions 47 to 771 of the family's 1533-position model. Lineage: Bacteria; Bacillati; Bacillota; Clostridia; Lachnospirales; Lachnospiraceae. The record is from RNAcentral.